ACUAAGCGUACACGGUGGAUGCCCUGGCAGUCAGAGGCGAUGAAGGACGUGCUAAUCUGCGAAAAGCGACGGCGAGGUGAUAUGAACCUUUGACCCGUCGAUGUCCGAAUGGGGAAACCCAGUGUGAUUCGUCACACUAUCGUUAACUGAAUACAUAGGUUAACGAGGCGAACCGGGGGAACUGAAACAUCUAAGUACCCCGAGGAAAAGAAAUCAACCGAGAUUCCCCCAGUAGCGGCGAGCGAACGGGGAGCAGCCCGGAGUCUGAAUCAGCUUGUGUGUUAGUGGAAGCGUCUGGAAAGUCGCACGGUACAGGGUGACAGUCCCGUACACGAAAAUGCACAGGUUGUGAACUCGAAGAGUAGGGCGGGACACGUGGUAUCCUGUCUGAAUAUGGGGGGACCAUCCUCCAAGGCUAAAUACUCCUGACUGACCGAUAGUGAACCAGUACCGUGAGGGAAAGGCGAAAAGAACCCCGGCGAGGGGAGUGAAAAAGAACCUGAAACCGUGUACGUACAAGCAGUGGGAGCACCUUCGUGGUGUGACUGCGUACCUUUUGUAUAAUGGGUCAGCGACUUAUAUUCUGUAGCAAGGUUAACCGUAUAGGGGAGCCGCAGGGAAACCGAGUCUUAACUGGGCGUUAAGUUGCAGGGUAUAGACCCGAAACCCGGUGAUCUAGCCAUGGGCAGGUUGAAGGUUGGGUAACACUAACUGGAGGACCGAACCGACUAAUGUUGAAAAAUUAGCGGAUGACCUGUGGCUGGGGGUGAAAGGCCAAUCAAACCGGGAGAUAGCUGGUUCUCCCCGAAAGCUAUUUAGGUAGCGCCUCGUGAACUCAUCUUCGGGGGUAGAGCACUGUUUCGGCUAGGGGGCCAUCCCGGCUUACCAACCCGAUGCAAACUACGAAUACCGAAGAAUGUUAUCACGGGAGACACACGGCGGGUGCUAACGUCCGUCGUGAAGAGGGAAACAACCCAGACCGCCAGCUAAGGUCCCAAAGUCAUGGUUAAGUGGGAAACGAUGUGGGAAGGCACAGACAGCCAGGAUGUUGGCUUAGAAGCAGCCAUCAUUUAAAGAAAGCGUAAUAGCUCACUGGUCGAGUCGGCCUGCGCGGAAGAUGUAACGGGGCUAAACCAUGCACCGAAGCUGCGGCAGCGACGCUUAUGCGUUGUUGGGUAGGGGAGCGUUCUGUAAGCCGUCGAAGGUGUGCUGUGAGGCAUGCUGGAGGUAUCAGAAGUGCGAAUGCUGACAUAAGUAACGAUAAAGCGGGUGAAAAGCCCGCUCGCCGGAAGACCAAGGGUUCCUGUCCAACGUUAAUCGGGGCAGGGUGAGUCGACCCCUAAGGCGAGGCCGAAAGGCGUAGUCGAUGGGAAACAGGUUAAUAUUCCUGUACUUGGUGUUACUGCGAAGGGGGGACGGAGAAGGCUAUGUCAGCCGGGCGACGGUUGUCCCGGUUUAAGCGUGUAGGUGUGUGUUCCAGGCAAAUCCGGUUCACUUUAACACUGAGGCGUGAUGACGAGGCACUACGGUGCUGAAGUGAUAAAUGCCCUGCUUCCAGGAAAAGCCUCUAAGCAUCAGGUAACACGAAAUCGUACCCCAAACCGACACAGGUGGUCAGGUAGAGAAUACCAAGGCGCUUGAGAGAACUCGGGUGAAGGAACUAGGCAAAAUGGUGCCGUAACUUCGGGAGAAGGCACGCUGAUAUGUAGGUGAAGUCCCUGCGGGCGGAGCUGAAAUCAGUCGAAGAUACCAGCUGGCUGCAACUGUUUAUUAAAAACACAGCACUGUGCAAACACGAAAGUGGACGUAUACGGUGUGACGCCUGCCCGGUGCCGGAAGGUUAAUUGAUGGGGUUAGCGGCAACGCGAAGCUCUUGAUCGAAGCCCCGGUAAACGGCGGCCGUAACUAUAACGGUCCUAAGGUAGCGAAAUUCCUUGUCGGGUAAGUUCCGACCUGCACGAAUGGCGUAAUGAUGGCCAGGCUGUCUCCACCCGAGACUCAGUGAAAUUGAACUCGCUGUGAAGAUGCAGUGUACCCGCGGCAAGACGGAAAGACCCCGUGAACCUUUACUAUAGCUUGACACUGAACACUGGUCCUUGAUGUGUAGGAUAGGUGGGAGGCUUUGAAGCGUGGACGCCAGUCUGCGUGGAGCCGUCCUUGAAAUACCACCCUUUAAUGGCUGGUGUUCUAACGUGGACCCGUGAUCCGGGUUGCGGACAGUGUCUGGUGGGUAGUUUGACUGGGGCGGUCUCCUCCCCAAAGAGUAACGGAGGAGCACGAAGGUUAGCUAAUCCUGGUCGGACAUCAGGAGGUUAGUGCAAUGGCAUAAGCUAGCUUGACUGCGAGAGUGACGGCUCGAGCAGGUGCGAAAGCAGGUCAUAGUGAUCCGGUGGUUCUGAAUGGAAGGGCCAUCGCUCAACGGAUAAAAGGUACUCCGGGGAUAACAGGCUGAUACCGCCCAAGAGUUCAUAUCGACGGCGGUGUUUGGCACCUCGAUGUCGGCUCAUCACAUCCUGGGGCUGAAGUAGGUCCCAAGGGUAUGGCUGUUCGCCAUUUAAAGUGGUACGCGAGCUGGGUUUAGAACGUCGUGAGACAGUUCGGUCCCUAUCUGCCGUGGGCGCUGGAGAAUUGAGGGGGGCUGCUCCUAGUACGAGAGGACCGGAGUGGACGCAUCACUGGUGUUCGGGUUGUCAUGCCAAUGGCACUGCCCGGUAGCUAAAUGCGGAAGAGAUAAGUGCUGAAAGCAUCUAAGCACGAAACUUGCCCCGAGAUGAGUUCUCCCUGAGACUAUAAGUCUCCUGAAGGAACGUUGAAGACGACGACGUUGAUAGGCCGGGUGUGUAAGCGCAGCGAUGCGUUGAGCUAACCGGUACUAAUGAACCGUGAGGCUUAACC
This 2895-nucleotide ribosomal RNA is filed under the name Enterobacter bugandensis. RNAcentral's name for it is "bacterial LSU rRNA". It matches the Rfam family "Bacterial large subunit ribosomal RNA". The record is from RNAcentral. Lineage: Bacteria; Pseudomonadati; Pseudomonadota; Gammaproteobacteria; Enterobacterales; Enterobacteriaceae.